This is a long non-coding RNA of Ictalurus punctatus (channel catfish), 5469 nucleotides long. The record is from Ensembl. Lineage: Eukaryota; Metazoa; Chordata; Actinopteri; Siluriformes; Ictaluridae.
AAUAUGAUGAAAUUGUUUCUCCGUUUUAUCUUUUGGUUUCUGUUUUCAAAAUGCGUUCCAUUUUCCGCUUCUGUUCGGUUAAACUGAACCAGUUGAAAAGCAUAAUUAGCAUUUAAAUCUGUCUUUUACAGGAACAACCAUCUCUCUCACACUCUCUCUCUCUCUCUAAUACUCUUUCUCUCAAGCUAUCUCUAUCAUGCUCUCUCUCUUUCUUGUUUAUGUUCUUUCUCUCUCACUUAUGCCCUCUCUCUCUCUCUCUCUCUCUCUCUCACUCACUCUCUCUCUCCAUGUCUCUGUCGCUAAGGCAACCAAUGCUUUUUCUCACUCUGACACACUCUGGCUCUCUCCCACUCCCUCCUUCAGCAGCGAGCGCUGCAGCGUCGUUCCCCCCUACAGCCAUCUGUUUACGAUCUUUCAGUAAGUGUCAGGAGCCAAGCGCUCCCCCUCUCCUCGUCUCCCUCUUUCAAGAGAUGAUCAGAGGAGCGAACAACCAGUGAAAAGAGAAGCGAUGGAGCGAUGCUCCGUCUCUGGACUCACUGCUCUCUUGCGCCUCCUGCUGGUUGCCGUCAUCAUUUGUCCCCCUCAUUGCCGUGCGGGCGACGAGCCUGUCGACAUGCAGCUGUCCGCUACACCCCAGGCCACACCCACUCCGCUCUGGGCAGUCGACUGGGGUCCCACGCAGCCGCUGGAGGACGAGACGCAUCACUUCCUGUCCAGUCAGGAAGUCGAGGGCGUGAAGCAGGCCACACCCGAGGUGUGGCCGCGUCGCAGGAACGCCCAAGCCAACCAAACCCAACAGCAGCCGCUGUCCAUCGAAGCCAAGGACUCGGCAGAGGAGCAGGAACGAGACGCAGAGGAAAGAGAGAUUGAAGAAGUGGAUCCUCAGUUUUACGUCACCGUGACUAUCUCAUCUCUCCUGAUUCUCUCUGCGCUCAUCAUAUCGGCCAAACUCUGUUAUGACCGCAGCCUGUCUCAGCGUCCUCCCCCUCUUUCCCUCGCCAUCCCUCGUUCCCUGGCCCCAGAGGAUAGCAGGCACACACUUCAGAGCACCCCCUCGUUCCCUGACAGAGAAAGACUUCCUGUGGUCAAUCUUUGAAGAACUGACUGUACCAAGCUUUCUAAUCACAUCCUCUGGGCAUGGAAUGUGAAAAAAACAAGGGUAACUAUGAGAACAAACAUAGAACAUGCGGAACUGCAUGAAGACGGAUACAUGAAAGAGAAUAUGUGGGGAUGGACGAGGCUCUGAGGAUUGGGGCUGUAUAUAUAUAUAUAUAUAUAUAUUGGCACAUUUUCUGGACGGAUGUACAGACAUGGAACGGAGGCCGUACAUUCUUUCAAGCCAGAGAUUCAGGCUCUCUUCUUCAGCCAUUUUGAAACAUUCCGUUUGUUUUUUUUUUCCCCCGUCGUCGUUUGAAUCGUUUCUUUCGCCGUCGCACAUAUAGUAUUCCUUCUCUGUACUUAUUGCAGCCAUUCCUGAAAGCUUAAUGAAUUCUACCUGCUUGCUGAGCUGUACCGUCGUCUUUAUUAUCGGUUUAUGAUCCGGUUUAUUACUCGCCCCGUUUAUAGUGAUCGCUCUCUCGCCCAGACCCCUCCCUCCCUCCCUCCCUCCCUCCCUCCCGCCUGCUGUAGCAUUUACUAAGGUUCAAGGAACGGCUGCAUUUCGUGCCAAGUGUGUUAAAUGUAGCCUCUUUUCUACGCCUCUGUAUUUCGACUGUUCGGUUUUAUAUAGCUCGCACUCUUUUCGCGACAGCGACGUGAUGAUGUUUACAAGCAUAGAGCCCAUCGACCUCACGCUAGAAAGCUCUACAGGACACGCCUGUGAUGUGUUUCUCGUUAAUGUUUACAGAACCGUGGAUGCACAUUGGUGAAUGUAUUAUGACGACUUUAUCUAGUGGCCGACGCCGCCCUCGGCGUCUCGGAGAAACACGGAAUAGCGGUCCGAGACUGAACCGACGGCCAUGUGCCGGACGCUUUGUCCAAGUCGCGUGAAGGUUUUCGAAUGGCCAGUGUUCAUAUUCAGAGCCGCUCUUAGCGAGGGAUUUUGACAUUUUAAAAGCCAUGAGCACACUGUACGGUUUUAGUAACGUCGUCGUGUGGUGAAACUCCGUAGUGCAUGAUUAGAUCGCCCAUCCUCACGGCGUGAUCGAAAUGCCGUGACGGUAACCGAGACACAGGCGCCGUGGAUAAAAACCCGAUCGAAUUGCUCGGUGCGAACGCAUAGUGCAUGCUGCUCAGCUGUAAUGUACAGAAAACACACUUAGCUACAGCCGUUAAAACACCAGCGAUCACUUGACAAUGUUCUUCACUAUUACUGAGACACCUUCCAGAUGUUUCGUGAGACUUCUUACACUGCAAGACAAAUGACCAUGUCACAUAAUCCUGCAACCAUAGAACAGCUCAGACAUUCUUUUAGGGCAGUUAAUCAGGCGUUCGCGUACCCCGGCGCUCAAAAGAGCUCAGAUAUUUGCUGUAGCGGCAAAGAGGAAGGACGUCAAGGGCUGAAAGCGUUGCAGAAGACAGUGGUUACGAUAAGAAAUCCAUUCCCAGACCCCGAAGAGGAGUCUUGCAUGGUCCUGCUGGCAUUUUUGUUGAGAACUCGGUUUAAAAAAAACAAACAAAAAAAUUAACGUACGUUAUUCGUCCGACAGAACCCUUUCACACAUCACUCGUCUGACAUCACUAGUAGAAACCGUGACUCGGUUCCACACGGCUGACGUUUUCACUGUUUAUCUGCUGCUCGAACUGUUUGAACGAGUCUGAGCCAAGGACUGGGGCAGGAGUGCAAAGCACACGACGGCGAUUUCAAUCUCUGACCAAUUAUCAUUCCUGUUAACGUUAUUCGUAAAGACUUUCUGACACUUCACCGUAGGCCUAUUCCGGUCGAAUCCAAUAAGUGUAGAUAUAGAGCUGGCACCGAUACCACUUCCGGUACUGAUACUGAUGGCGUGAGCUUGAUACCCGCCUGAUAUUCCUAUCCUAUCUGAAGCACUUUAUUAGGAACACCUGUACACCUACACGUUCAUGCAAUUCUCUAAUCGGCCAAUCGUGUUGCAGCGGUACGACGCGAACAUGUGAUCUCGGUGAUUCUGACCGUUGGUACCAGACGGGCUGGUUUGAGUAUUUCUAUAACUGCUGAUCUCCUGGGAUUUCCACUCGGAGCAGUCUGCUUAGAACGGUGCAAUAAAGGGAAAUGAGAGAGAGGUGGACAGAAAAUGUCCAGACUGGUUCAAGUAACAGAUACAGUACAGUAUAACCACUGUGUACAAUCGCGGUGAGCAGAAAAGCAGCUCGGAAUGCACAACACGUCGAACCUCGAGGCGCACGGGCUACGACGGGUUCCACUUCUGUCAGCCAAGAACAGAAAGCUGAGGACGCACCGGGCACAGGCUCACCGAAACUGGACAAACGUAGCCUGGUCUGAUGAAUCUGGAUUUCUGAUGAGGCGCACACCGGUGGUAAGGUCAGAAUUUGGCACCAGCAACAUGAAUCCACGGAAGUGCGUCGCGUCAACAGUCCAGACUGGUGGAGGUGGUGUGGGAAAUGUUUUCUUGGCACACUUUGGGAGCGUCGAUACCAAGCAAUCGUCGCUUCAACGCCACGGCCUAUUUGAGAAUUGCAAAAGCAAAAGUCAGUGUGCGAACACUGUUUUCCUGAAUUUCGAGUUCAGUGUACUUUAAUGGCCUGCGCAGUCACUGGAUCGGAAUCCACUAGAACAGCACUUUAACAUGAAAGUGCGUCUGAAAAAUCUGCAGCAACCGCGUGAUGCCAUCACGUCAGAAUCUCACACGAGUGUUUCUAACAUCUUGUGCAAUCUAUGCCACGAAGAUCUGAGGCUGUUCCGAGACCCUACCCAGUAUUAGUACAGUGUUCCUAAUAAAGUGUCCGGUGAGUGUAUAUUUUAAAGUAUAAAAUUGCUGAAAGGAAAAAUGAGUUUCUUUACACGUCGGGGUCCGAAAGUCUGAGACCACAUUGAAAAUCUGGGUUGUUUUGUUUUUCAUUUAAAAAUGGAUUUUAGAACGUUCAAUAUCGUGAAUAUAUAAUAUUCAGGGUCAUGCACUAUUUCUACGUCCGUAUUUAAACGGAAGCGAAUUAGUGAUAUCGACCGUGCUAACUGCUUUGUAAAAAAAAAAAAGAGGUCAGAUUUCCCUCAUGUCUAAUCUCUUCGGUCGGAGCACGCGUUCAGACGACACGCCGAUCUCAAACGGGUCGAUGGUUUUGCGCAUAAAGGGGACGCACCAAGUACUAAUAAACUCUAAUGGAUACUAAUACUAAUAAAGUUGUUGCCGAUAAUAUAAUUUCUGAUAAAUUGUUGUAUUAAGUUAGUAGCACUUUCACUAGUGCUCACAGACUUUUGGACCUGCUCCAGUCUUUUGCCGUUUAGUAAAGGAUCUGAUAUCCAGUGCUUUUGCUUUAAACUUAACGCCGACUCUACGCAUCAGAUCGGUGCCACCGCUAUAGUUACCUGAUGUUAAAUUUAUACCUGUCUAACGUCAGGCGAGCUGAACAUACGUCGAUAGAUUUUAUUUUAUAUUAAUGAGUUCUCCAUUUACGUUGACAGAAAGACAGGCACUCUGUCUCAGAACACCACUAACGUGAGACUGGAGGAAGGAAGGGGGCGGGGCUUACAGGGGAUCGGUUAGCACAACUGUCAAUCAUUCCAGCUUCAUACGUUAACUGGCUCUUGUGCCGUUUUUAUCGCGGGAAGGUUUUUCAAAUAAAUAAAUAAAUAAAUAAAGAGUACUCGGUGUAUUUCGUUGUGAUAUCUCGUAGCAGUGUAUUCCGAUGUUAAGAAGACGCAGAGCAUAGCGACGCAAAAAAGGUCGUCAGGCCUGCCUUCCUCAUCUCUGCGUCUCAUCUUUUGAACUGCCAUGUCCUUCGCGCUUACUUGAGAAGACGAGCAUCGCGCUUAUCGAGACCAACUCCCCAGCAUAAUUUCAUCCACGUCCUGCUCAAACCCACCUAGUUUAGCUAUCAGCUGAUAAGUUAUAUGAGAGAAACAGGAGAUAGUAAACCGAACAGAGAACAGAUGUACAAGGCAAACAUAUUUUUGAGAAACAAAUGUUCUGGUCUUUGCCUUGCAGAUAGAGACUGGAAUUUAUUCUUAUGGUGGUGUUUUGUUUUUGUUUUGUUUUUUCUCCUCAUCUGGGACAAGUUCUAUAUACGUGUUAAAAUGUGUUUAAAAAAACAACAAAAAAAAAACGUCAGCGGUUUAAAGCACUCCGGGUAAGAAACCCGGUCUUACGAACUCAAAGUUCAACUCCAGAUACAAGCUGUGAUUUAUUCAUUGAAUUUUUUUGGUGAUGUAGUUUUAUAUGACGUAGCACUGCCUUAAGUACUGUGUGUGGUUAACUGUAUAAGAAAAGACCAAUAAAAAUCCAUUUAUGGUGUUUGGAAAGUUGUGAAUAUGGAUUUCGUGUAUUGAUUGCGAAGAGAAAUUUGGAAGUAGUAGUGCAGUGCGCAUGGAAACGG